This 403-nucleotide ribosomal RNA is filed under the name uncultured bacterium. RNAcentral describes it as "bacterial SSU rRNA". It matches the Rfam family "Bacterial small subunit ribosomal RNA", at positions 28 to 435 of the family's 1533-position model. The record is from RNAcentral.
GACGAACGCUGGCGGCGUGCUUAACACAUGCAAGUCGAGCGGUAAGGCCCUUUCGGGGGUACACGAGCGGCGAACGGGUGAGUAACACGUGGGUGACCUGCCCUCAGCUCUGGGAUAAGCCUGGGAAACCGGGUCUAAUACUGGAUAUGACUCCAUGACGCAUGUUGUGGGGUGGAAAGCCUUGUGCGGCUGAGGAUGGGCCCGCGGCCUAUCAGCUUGUUGGUGGGGUGANGGCCUACCAAGGCGACGACGGGUAGCCGGCCUGAGAGGGCGACCGGCCACACUGGGACUGAGACACGGCCCAGACUCCUACGGGAGGCAGCAGUGGGGAAUCUUGCGCAAUGGGCGAAAGCCUGACGCAGCGACGCCGCGUGAGGGAUGACGGCCUCGGUUGUAACCGUAC